Molecule: ribosomal RNA, 485 nt
Filed under: uncultured bacterium
Lineage: Bacteria
Description: partial 16S ribosomal RNA
Rfam family: Bacterial small subunit ribosomal RNA
Source: RNAcentral
AGUGAACGCUGGCGGCGUGCUUAACACAUGCAAGUCGAACGAGAACGGAAUAUAGCUUGCUAUAUUUGUCAGCUAAGUGGCGCACGGGUGAGUAAUGUGUAGAUAACCUGCCCUUAAGAAAGGAAUAACAGUUGGAAACGACUGCUAAUGCCCUAUAUGCCUUUAAUACAUAAGUAUGCAAGGGAAACGCUUUAGUGCUUAAGGAUGGGUCUGUAUGGUAUCAGCUUGUUGGUGAGGUAAUGGCUCACCAAGGCUAUGACGCCUAACUGGUUUGAGAGGAUGAUCAGUCACACUGGAACUGAGACGCGGUCCAGACUCCUACGGGAGGCAGCAGUGGGGAAUAUUGCACAAUGGACGAAAGUCUGAUGCAGCAACGCCGCGUGGAGGAUGACACAUUUCGGUGCGUAAACUCCUUUUAUAUAGGAAGAUAAUGACGGUACUAUAUGAAUAAGCACCGGCUAACUCCGUGCCAGCCGCCGCUGUAA